Molecule: ribosomal RNA, 654 nt
Filed under: uncultured crenarchaeote
Lineage: Archaea; Thermoproteati; Thermoproteota
Description: bacterial SSU rRNA
Rfam family: Archaeal small subunit ribosomal RNA
Source: RNAcentral
AGGAUGGGACUGCGACCGAUCAGGCUGUUGGCGGGGUAAUGGCCCACCAAACCAGUAACCGGUACGGGCUUUGAGAGAAGGAGCCCGGAGAUGGACACUGAGACAAGGGUCCAGGUCCUACGGGGCGCAGCAGGCGCGAAACCUUCGCAAUGUGCGAAAGCAUGACGAGGUUAAUCCGAGUGGCAUCCGCUGAGGAAGUCUUUUGCCGGCUCUAAAACGGCCGGUGGAUAAGGGGAGGGCAAGCCUGGUGUCAGCCGCCGCGGUAAUACCAGCUCCUCGAGUGGUCGGGGCGAUUAUUGGGCCUAAAGCAUCCGUAGCCGGUUCCGUAGGUCCUCUGUUAAAUCCAACCGCUCAACGGUUGACCUGCAGAGGAUACCGCGGGACUAGGAGGCGGGAGAGGCGGACGGUACUCCGCGUGCAGGGGUAAAAUCCUUUGAUCCGCGGAAGACCACCAGUGGCGAAGGCGGUCCACCAGAACGCGCUCGACGGUGAGGGAUGAAAGCUGGGGGAGCGAACCGGAUUAGAUACCCGGGUAGUCCCAGCCGUAAACGAUGCGAGCUAGAUGAUCCAAUCGCAAAUCGCGAUUGGAGUGUCGCAGGGAAGCCGUUAAGCUCGCCGCCUGGGGAGUACGGUCGCAAGACUGAAACUUAAAGG